AGCUGCUUGGCGCAGUGGAACGCGCGCCGGGCUCAUAACCCGGAGGUCGCCCGAUCGAAACGGGCAGUAGCUA
This is a non-coding RNA of Dichotomopilus funicola, 73 nucleotides long. NCBI's taxonomy places the organism in Eukaryota, Fungi, Ascomycota, Sordariomycetes, Sordariales, Chaetomiaceae. The record is from the annotation of a RefSeq genome assembly.